GGAUUCCCCUAGUAGCGGCGAGCGAAGCGGGAAGAGCUCAAAUUUGUAAUCUGGCGUCCUCAGGGCGUCCGAGUUGUAAUCUAUAGAAGCGUUUUCCGUGCCGGACCGUGUCCAAGUCCCUUGGAACAGGGUAUCAAAGAGGGUGACAAUCCCGUACUUGACACGACGACCGGUGCUCUGUGAUACGUUUUCUACGAGUCGAGUUGUUUGGGAAUGCAGCUCAAAAUGGGUGGUAAAUUCCAUCUAAAGCUAAAUAUAGGCGAGAGACCGAUAGCGAACAAGUACCGUGAGGGAAAGAUGAAAAGCACUUUGGAAAGAGAGUUAAACAGUAUGUGAAAUUGUUGAAAGGGAAACGAUUGAAGUCAGUCAUGUCCAUUGGAUUCAGCUGGUUCUGCCAGUGUACUUCCUUUGGACGGGUCAACAUCAGUUUGAGCCGGUGGAUAAUGGCAGAGGGAAUGUGGCACCCCCGGGUGUGUUAUAGCCCUUUGUCGCAUACAUCGGCCCAGACUGAGGAAUGCAGCUCGCCUUUAUGGCCGGGGUUCGCCCACGUUCGAGCUUAGGAUGUUGGCAUAAUGGCUUUAAACGACCCGUCUUGAAACACGGACCAA
Molecule: ribosomal RNA, 608 nt
Filed under: Saitozyma flava
Lineage: Eukaryota; Fungi; Basidiomycota; Tremellomycetes; Tremellales; Trimorphomycetaceae
Description: partial large subunit ribosomal RNA
Rfam family: Eukaryotic large subunit ribosomal RNA
Source: RNAcentral